Molecule: long non-coding RNA, 552 nt
Organism: Cygnus olor (mute swan)
Lineage: Eukaryota; Metazoa; Chordata; Aves; Anseriformes; Anatidae
Exons: 3
Source: RefSeq, a predicted model, not a curated record
GUUGAGCAGGGGCACUUGUCGGUUGGACUCGUAGGACGUGGCGUCCGAGUGCACCAUCUCCUGGAUCUGAGGAGUGAGGGGAUGUCUAAGGGGCCCACGGUGACUGAUGGCACACAGCUGCAGGGACACGGGGACAGGGCACCGUCCACCAGAAGAAGGCUGCUCAGCCUUGAACAAUUCAGGAGGAAAAUGAAACACACACACAUGGCUAACGAGAGGCGCUGAGUGCUAAGUUGGACAAGUGCAUGUUAUUUAUGCAACAGAGCAGAACAAGUCCGGGAGUGCAAUUAUGGAUAUGGGACACGUGCUGUAAAUGCUUAUGAAAAUUCAUAGGAAAAAAGGGAAACCUGAGCCCUGGCCCACAGCAUCCAUGAAGAAGCCUCUUGCUGACAGCAACCCAACCACACCAGCAUUUUUCCUGGGACACCCCAAAGCCUCCUCCCAUACAGUUGCCUGUAUCUGUACAUCAUUAAAAAGAGACAUUUUUACUUAUAACCUUUGCUAUAAAUAUAAACUUACAAACUUUACUGGUUCUGCCCCCAGUCCUCCCUC